CACAUUUAAGUGAUUAGAACCUGUCAUUUUUUGUUGUUGUUUUCAGACUGACACAAAUGACAGGACAAAGAAACAUACAAGGAAAUAAAAUGAAAAUUCAGAACAGAUGUUAGGACACAUUUUUCAUGCUGAAUGUGCAGAGUGGUCAACCAGUUUCCAGUGCCGAAAACACUGGAUGCAAAAAGAAGAAAGAAAAAAAAAGAAGAAGGAAAAAAAAAGUGAUUGUGUGGAUCAUUCCUCUUCCACAUAAUUUGUUAAUGUAUACAGCAGUAGAGAAUUUUAAGAGAUUCCUUUCAUGCAAUUGAGAAGUUGUUUUCUGAUAUUGAAGAACAGGAUGGUGGCAGGAUAGGGAAGAACUGAGAUCUGAAAAUGUGGGGAAAGAUAUGAAAUGAGCAUUUGUAGUUGACCAGAAGUAGUGUAAACUACAGUGAUAGGGAAUGUACAGAUACAGGGAAAAUAUCUAGGUUUAACGAGAGUGAAAAGUGAAUGAAGACCACUUGAGGGUGGGAACAUCAACAGUGAGAUUAAUGGUGAGCAGUGGCAGCAGCUGCUGUGUCAGUAGAGUAUUAAGUCUGAAGACGUUUUAGGCAUAAAAAUUCUAUAAGGGGAGACAUUCCAUGUGGUAAAACCAGGUUUAUGCUAUCUGCAAUUUUCUAAGACACACUGGACAUCAAUUGUAUCAAAUAAAUAUUAUCAGAUGGCCA
This 704-nucleotide long non-coding RNA is filed under the name Phasianus colchicus (ring-necked pheasant). Its description in RNAcentral is "lncRNA (ENSPCLG00000021929.1)". Lineage: Eukaryota; Metazoa; Chordata; Aves; Galliformes; Phasianidae. The record is from RNAcentral.